CCUACGGGGGGCUGCAGUGGGGAAUAUUGCACAAUGGGGGAAACCCUGAUGCAGCGACGCCGCGUGAGUGAAGAAGUAAUUCGUUAUGUAAAGCUCUAUCAGCAGGGAAGAAAAUGACGGUACCUGAGUAAGAAGCCCCGGCUAACUACGUGCCAGCAGCCCCGGUAAGACGGAGGGUGCAAGCGUUAUCCGGAUUUACUGGGUGUAAAGGGAGCGUAGACGGGAGUGCAAGUCAGGAGUGGAAGGCGGGGGCUCAACCCCCGGACUGCUCUGGAGACUGUACGGCUGGAGUGCAGGUGAGGUAAGUGGAAUUCGUGGUGUAGCGGUGAAAUGCGUAGAUAUUAGGAGGAACACCAAUGGCGAAGGCAGCUUACUGGACUGUAACUGACGUUGAGGCUCGAAAGCGUGGGGAGCAAACAGGAUUAGAUACCCCAGUAGUC
This 440-nucleotide ribosomal RNA is filed under the name uncultured bacterium. RNAcentral's name for it is "partial 16S ribosomal RNA". It matches the Rfam family "Bacterial small subunit ribosomal RNA", at positions 338 to 795 of the family's 1533-position model. The record is from RNAcentral.